AUGGGGAAAGCCGCUACAGAUUAUUUUGAGGAGCUGUUUUCGGCUAACCCAAGUCUUGAUCACGGCCAAGUCACUGAUUUGUUUGAGGCUGUUGUAACUCCGCAAAUAAAUGAUGUUUUAUGUGCGGAAUUCUCAGACAAGGAGAUUGGAGACGCUCUGUUCCAAAUUGGACCUCUAAAAGCGCCGGGUCCGGAUGGCUUCCCCGCGCAGUUUUUUCAGCGUAACUGGGGGACAAUGAAGGAAGGUAUAAUUGCUGCGGUAAAAAAUUUCUUCCAAAGUGGGAUAAUGCCUGAAAAUGUCAAUGAUACUAUCAUUGUAAUGAUCCCGAAAAUUGAUAACCCUGUGAAAAUCACGGAUUUCCGCCCCAUAAGUUUAUGUAAUGUGGUUUACAAAGUGGUCUCAAAAUGCUUAGUAAACCGGUUAAGGCCUGUUCUAGAUGAGAUUAUUUCGCCUUCGCAAAGUGCUUUUAUUCCUGGACGUAUGAUUACCGACAAUGCCUAUGUUGCCUUUGAAUGUAUUCAUCAUAUAAAGCAAGAGAAGGACCCUACCAGGAGUUAUUGUGCUUAUAAGCUUGAUCUCUCAAAAGCCUAUGAUAGAGUGGACUGGAAUUACCUUAGGCAAACGAUGCAAAAGCUUGACUUUGCUCACCGAUGGGUUGACUGGAUUAUGUCAUGUGUGACCUCGGUGAGAUACUCAGUAAAAUUCAAUGGAGUCAUCUUGGAUUCGUUUGCACCGUCGCGUGGUCUUCGGCAAGGUGAUCCGCUGUCCCCAUAUUUAUUCUUGUUUGUUGCUGACGGUCUCUCUGCUCUUAUCACUAAAGGGAUUGAUACCGGUAAUAUUUCUCCGCCGAAAAUUACUAGAAGUGCACUGGGAGUCUCACACUUAUUAUUCGCGGAUGACACGCUCUUGUUUUUCAAGUCGUGUGACCAAGAAGCACAAUAUAUUAAAAGCACUCUGGAAGUUUAUGCAAAUGCCACGGGGCAGCUGUUAAACCCUGCCAAAUGCUCCAUGAUGGUGGGUGGCUCAUGUCCGGAAGGAACCAGAGACGGAGUAAAAAAUAUUUUGCAAGUAACCACGACAGAGUUUGAAGAGAAAUAUUUGGGACUGCCCACUCCGGAUGGCCGUAUGUCAAAAGGAAAAUUUCAGAACCUGCAAGUAAAACUUUCAAAUCGAUUGUUUGCUUAUGAUGGGCACCCUACUCAAGCGGGAAAGGAAGUGUUAAUCCGUGCUGUUGCUCAAUCUAUCCCUACUUAUAUUAUGAGUGUGUUCAAACUCCCGUUGGAGGUAUGUGAUGAUCUAAACCGCAUGGUUAGGAACUAUUUUUGGGGUGCAGAGAAAGGGAAGAGGAAAACAUAUUGGUACGCAUGGGAGAAAAUGACUAGGCCAAGGAAACAAGGCGGCCUUGGUUUUAAAGACUUUCGUCUAUUUAAUCAAGCGCUCCUUGCUCGUCAGGCGUGGCGAAUAUUAGAGUUCCCAAACAGUUUAUGCUCAAGGCUCUUUAAAGCGAAGUAUUUCCCAAAUGGGCGCCUACUGGAUACGGUGUUCACUAGUAACCCAUCACCUACAUGGCAGGCCAUUGCCUAUGGUCUCGAACUUCUGAAAAAAGGCGUGGUCUGGAGAAUCGGAAAUGGUCAGAGUGUACGUAUAUGGAGAGAUCGAUGGAUAGCACGCGAGCCAACCGGAGGCUUGAUUUCACAGCGUGGUAGGUGCCGCCUAAAGUGGGUCUCGGAGCUUCUGAAUAUCCAUGGUAAUUGGGACUUUGACAAAAUAAAUCAGUUCUUUCUCCCGGUCGACAUUGUUGAAAUUCAGAAAAUAAAACCAUCUGCUCGGCUAGAGGAAGACUUUGUUGCUUGGGGGCCUGAAAAAAGUGGAGUUUUUACUGUACGUAGUGCGUAUAAACUGGCUAGUGAUGAAUGCUCAAAUCCUAAUGAAGUCUCUACAAGUUCCCGGCCGGAUGGAACAAGAGAAGCAUGGAAAUUUAUAUGGCAAAGUUCUGUACCACCGAAGGUUCAGUCUUUUGCUUGGAGGUUAGCUACAGAUUCGCUAGCAAAUUGGACAAAUAAAGUGAAAAGGAACUUGGAAGUCUCAGGUACAUGCCUUGUGUGUGGUAUGGAGGAGGAGGACUCGUUCCAUGUGUUUUGCACCUGUAAUCAUGCUGUGUUCCUAUGGAAGGCCAUGGCGAAGGAAUGGACAUUGCCGGACCGUCUAAGCAUCGUACAUGUUGGGCGUGAUUGGUUCCUUCAUCUCCUGUCGAAACUGCAUGAAGAGGAGAGAGCUAGGAUUAUGAUGCUAUUCUGGCGAAUCUCGUAUGUGCGUAACGAAAUUGUGCAUGCAAAACAGCCACCGCCCGUGGAUGUUUCUGUGCGCUUCCUGUCCAGCUAUCUGUCAUCCCUAAACUCUAUUCAUAUAUGCUCAAGUGAUGCUUUAGUGAAAGGAAAAAUGUCAGUUGCAUGUCUUCAGAUUCCCAAUCAGGACAUAUACAGAGUUGAUGAAGUGGGUGGUUCUUGGUCCGCUCCAGCAGUGGGCAGAGUCAAACUCAACACGGAUGCCUCGGUCCUGGGCUCUACGGCGGGAGCCGGAAUGAUCCCAAGGGAUCACGAAGGAGAAAUUGUUUUCAGUGCUUGCAGACUUCUCUAUGCAUGUGAUGAUGUGCUGGAGGCAGAGUUACUUGCAAUAAGGGAGGGAAUUUCUUUGGCCCUUCAGUGGAGCAUCUUACCAAUAGAUGUGGAAUCUGAUUGUUUAGAGGCUGUCAAUAUGAUUAAGACAGGGAAUAGCAACAAAUCUAAAUAUGCUUUCAUUAUCAGGGAGAUCAUUAGUAGUUUGGGAGAAAGGAAUUCUUGCAUUACUCAUAUUCGUCGGAGCUGUAAUAGGGUUAGUCAUGCCUUGGCAAAUUUUGGUAGGUUGCAACGCCGAACUUUGGUUUGGCUAGGCUCUGGUCCGGAUGAUGUUUUGGCACUUGUGGGACGAAUUGUAUUCUCUGAUACUUGA
Molecule: ribosomal RNA, 2988 nt
Filed under: Triticum aestivum (bread wheat)
Lineage: Eukaryota; Viridiplantae; Streptophyta; Magnoliopsida; Poales; Poaceae
Description: partial small subunit ribosomal RNA
Source: RNAcentral